GUGAAUGCGUUGGUGUUGUUUUAGGCUCGAUAAAUGGCUGAUAGAUUUCCCACACUGAUCACAGGUGUACGGUUUCUCUCCACUAUGGAUGUGUUGGUGUUGUUGUUGGCUCGAUAACUGGCUGAAAGAUUUCCCACACUGGUCACAGGUGUACAGUUUC
Thalassophryne amazonica is the source of this 160-nucleotide long non-coding RNA. RefSeq lists it as uncharacterized. The transcript is spliced from 3 exons. The record is from RefSeq and is a predicted model, not a curated record. NCBI's taxonomy places the organism in Eukaryota, Metazoa, Chordata, Actinopteri, Batrachoidiformes, Batrachoididae.